RNAcentral lists this ribosomal RNA (733 nucleotides) under Citrobacter sp. RNAcentral describes it as "bacterial SSU rRNA". It matches the Rfam family "Bacterial small subunit ribosomal RNA", at positions 23 to 745 of the family's 1533-position model. The record is from RNAcentral. Lineage: Bacteria; Pseudomonadati; Pseudomonadota; Gammaproteobacteria; Enterobacterales; Enterobacteriaceae.
CUCAGAUUGAACGCUGGCGGCAGGCCUAACACAUGCAAGUCGAACGGUAGCACAGAGGAGCUUGCUCCUUGGGUGACGAGUGGCGGACGGGUGAGUAAUGUCUGGGAAACUGCCCGAUGGAGGGGGAUAACUACUGGAAACGGUAGCUAAUACCGCAUAACGUCGCAAGACCAAAGAGGGGGACCUUCGGGCCUCUUGCCAUCGGAUGUGCCCAGAUGGGAUUAGCUAGUAGGUGGGGUAACGGCUCACCUAGGCGACGAUCCCUAGCUGGUCUGAGAGGAUGACCAGCCACACUGGAACUGAGACACGGUCCAGACUCCUACGGGAGGCAGCAGUGGGGAAUAUUGCACAAUGGGCGCAAGCCUGAUGCAGCCAUGCCGCGUGUAUGAAGAAGGCCUUCGGGUUGUAAAGUACUUUCAGCGAGGAGGAAGGCGUUGAGGUUAAUAACCUCAACGAUUGACGUUACUCGCAGAAGAAGCACCGGCUAACUCCGUGCCAGCAGCCGCGGUAAUACGGAGGGUGCAAGCGUUAAUCGGAAUUACUGGGCGUAAAGCGCACGCAGGCGGUCUGUCAAGUCGGAUGUGAAAUCCCCGGGCUCAACCUGGGAACUGCAUCCGAAACUGGCAGGCUAGAGUCUUGUAGAGGGGGGUAGAAUUCCAGGUGUAGCGGUGAAAUGCGUAGAGAUCUGGAGGAAUACCGGUGGCGAAGGCGGCCCCCUGGACAAAGACUGACG